Molecule: ribosomal RNA, 253 nt
Filed under: uncultured bacterium
Lineage: Bacteria
Description: partial 16S ribosomal RNA
Rfam family: Bacterial small subunit ribosomal RNA
Source: RNAcentral
UACGUAGGGGGCAAGCGUUGUCCGGAUUUAUUGGGCGUAAAGAGCGUGUAGGCGGCCAGACAGGUCCGUUGUGAAAACUCGAGGCUCAACCUCGAGACGUCGAUGGAAACCGUCUGGCUAGAGUCCGGAAGAGGAGAGUGGAAUUCCUGGUGUAGCGGUGAAAUGCGCAGAUAUCAGGAGGAACACCUGUGGUGUAGACGGCUUUCUGGACCGUAGCUGACGCUGAGACACGAAAGCGUGGGUAGCAAACAGG